GCAGUCGUGGCGGAAUUGGCAUACGCGCUAGACUAAGGAUCUAGUCCGGGUUUUCUGGGUAGGGGUUCAAGUCCCCUCGACUGCA
RNAcentral lists this transfer RNA (85 nucleotides) under Herbinix hemicellulosilytica. It matches the Rfam family "tRNA". From Rfam's summary of the family: Transfer RNA (tRNA) molecules are approximately 80 nucleotides in length. RNAcentral also lists the same sequence under 1 other name. Lineage: Bacteria; Bacillati; Bacillota; Clostridia; Lachnospirales; Lachnospiraceae. The record is from Rfam by way of RNAcentral.